UACGUAGGGCGCAAGCGUUGUCCGGAAUUAUUGGGCGUAAAGAGCUCGUAGGCGGUCUGUCGCGUCGGCUGUGAAAACCCGAGGCUCAACCUCGGGCCUGCAGUCGAUACGGGCAGACUAGAGUGCUGUAGGGGAGACUGGAAUUCCUGGUGUAGCGGUGAAAUGCGCAGAUAUCAGGAGGGAACACCCGGUGGGCGAAGGCGGGGUCUCUGGGGCAGUAAACUGAC
RNAcentral lists this ribosomal RNA (227 nucleotides) under uncultured bacterium. RNAcentral's name for it is "partial 16S ribosomal RNA". It matches the Rfam family "Bacterial small subunit ribosomal RNA", at positions 524 to 744 of the family's 1533-position model. The record is from RNAcentral.